UUAAGGUAAAGCCUAAAUGUUUUUUAAACAAAGAUUUGACAAACUGUUUCUGUACUCGUUUCAUUUACAUUAAGAUGGUUAAAUGCAGCAUUUUCUUCUGCAUAGUACAGUUUCAAAGCUGUAUUAAGUCAAUGUUCAGUUAUAAAAUUUUGAA
This is a long non-coding RNA of Chelonia mydas (Green sea turtle), 154 nucleotides long. RefSeq lists it as uncharacterized. Lineage: Eukaryota; Metazoa; Chordata; Testudines; Cheloniidae. The record is from RefSeq and is a predicted model, not a curated record. The transcript has 3 exons.